UACGUAGGGGGCAAGCGUUGCCCGGAAUCAUUGGGCGUAAAGCGCGCGUAGGCGGCCCGGUAAGUCCGCUGUGAAAGUCAAAGGCUCAACCUUUGAAUGUCAGCGGAUACUGCCGGGCUAGAGUCCGGAAGAGGCGAGUGGAACUCCUGGUGUAGCGGUGAAAUGCGCAGAUAUCAGGAGGAACACCAAUUGCGAAGGCAGCUCGCUGGGACGUUACUGACGCUGAGACGCGAAAGCGUGGGGAGCAAACAGG
RNAcentral lists this ribosomal RNA (253 nucleotides) under uncultured bacterium. Its description in RNAcentral is "partial 16S ribosomal RNA". It matches the Rfam family "Bacterial small subunit ribosomal RNA", at positions 524 to 776 of the family's 1533-position model. The record is from RNAcentral.